Molecule: transfer RNA, 87 nt
Filed under: Maridesulfovibrio ferrireducens
Lineage: Bacteria; Pseudomonadati; Thermodesulfobacteriota; Desulfovibrionia; Desulfovibrionales; Desulfovibrionaceae
Description: Desulfovibrio ferrireducens tRNA_Leu_GAG
Rfam family: tRNA
About the family: Transfer RNA (tRNA) molecules are approximately 80 nucleotides in length. Their secondary structure includes four short double-helical elements and three loops (D, anti-codon, and T loops).
Source: RNAcentral
GCCGAGGUGGUGGAAUUGGUAGACACGCUAGCUUGAGGGGCUAGUGGAAGAGAUUCCGUGGGGGUUCGAGUCCCCCCCUCGGCACCA